This is a long non-coding RNA of Cyprinus carpio carpio, 415 nucleotides long. The record is from Ensembl. NCBI's taxonomy places the organism in Eukaryota, Metazoa, Chordata, Actinopteri, Cypriniformes, Cyprinidae.
GAGCCAUUCAAAGCAAACUAACUGUGCUAUUGUGCCCAAGUUGAUACCUGUGGAGAGAAAAGGAGAGAGAGUGGGUAACACGAGGAGAGACCGAGGAAACCUGUACUUACGCCGCUGCCUGUGGAGAAAGAGAAAGCGACCGUUGCCUGAAGAGAAAGAGACCGUUGCCUGUGGAGGAAGAGAAAGAGAGUGAGCACCCCGAGAACGAACUGUGUGAACCAGUACUUACCGUGAGCUGUAUUCAGCGAAGAGGAGGAAGAAGGAGGGCGCUACGGAUACCUAAGACUCAGGCCGGGGCCCGAGUCCCACGCCCCGGAUCCCCGUGGCCCCCUUGCUCCCUGACCUCUUCCCGGCCAUAGCCCAUCUGGAGGGCCGAGUCAGAGUUUAGUUUUAAUUGCCCUUUCCCUAUUCCCCA